RNAcentral lists this ribosomal RNA (253 nucleotides) under uncultured bacterium. RNAcentral describes it as "partial 16S ribosomal RNA". It matches the Rfam family "Bacterial small subunit ribosomal RNA", at positions 524 to 776 of the family's 1533-position model. The record is from RNAcentral.
UACGAAGGGGGCUAGCGUUGCUCGGAAUCACUGGGCGUAAAGCGCACGUAGGCGGAUCGCUAAGUCAGGGGUGAAAUCCUGGAGCUCAACUCCAGAACUGCCUUUGAUACUGGCAAUCUCGAGUCCGGGAGAGGUGAGUGGAACUGCGAGUGUAGAGGUGAAAUUCGUAGAUAUUCGGAAGAACACCAGUGGCGAAGGCGGCUCACUGGCCCGGUACUGACGCUCAGGUGCGAAAGCGUGGGGAGCAAACAGG